RNAcentral lists this long non-coding RNA (1043 nucleotides) under Anser brachyrhynchus (Pink-footed goose). RNAcentral describes it as "lncRNA (ENSABRG00000001798.1)". The record is from RNAcentral. Lineage: Eukaryota; Metazoa; Chordata; Aves; Anseriformes; Anatidae.
GGGGUCAGUGCCUGAGGUAUUCUGAGGAGCGAAAGAUCCCUGAGUGAAAUUAUCAUAGAAUCACAGAAUUAUUAAGGUUGGAAAAGACUUUCAAGAGCAUCUGGUCCAACCAUCCCCCUACCGCCAAUGUCACCCACUAACCGUGUCCCCAAGCACCAUGUCCAACCUUUCCUUAAACACCCCCAGGGACAGUGACCACCACCUCCCUGGGCAACCCGUCCCAAUGCCUGACUGCUCUUUCUGAGAAGAAAUGUCUCCUCAUUUCCAACCUGAACCUCCCCUGGCACAACCCGAGGCCGUUUUAUGAUUGACACUUUUCUGGACACUCAGCUAUCCAGAAUGCCAGCAUCCCAGGUACAUUCUGUGGUCCUGCUCCUGACACGGCUCUUUUGCCAUAGGGGAAGCCCAUGAGGAAGGCUGCCUUUCUGAAGACUGGAUCCAUUGAACUCAAGGGAAGUAAUCCCAGCUGACUUGGACGACUCUAAACCAGGUGACAGCAUGCUCACUGGACUAGUCAAAGGUACCUGCUCGCACCCUCUCCAGUUUACCUUGAGAUGCUGUUGCAGUUUAUUCAGUGUUUUGACGAGCUCACUGUUAUUCCUGUUGGCACGAUCCACUUGGAUUUCCAUUUUGUUCUGGUCAGUUUCCAUCUCCUUGAGCCUAAGUGCUUCAGCAUGCCCUGUCACUUCAGUCUCCAGACUCACCUGCAGAGACGGGAUUGCAUGCUGGUGAUUUUCUGCGGAGUCCAGUGAAGCAUAUGGUGCAACAUUCUGUUAUGUUGAGUCUAAUCCAGCCUUAGUAUCACGUUAUUGCCCACCGACUAACAAAAACACAGGAGCUUUCCAAACCUGUUCAUAACUGUGGUACCAGAAUUUUGAACCAAGCCAUUUAUGAACGCAUUUUAAAUAGAAGAUCGUGACAGCUUUCAAAUGGCAGCUUUAACCUGAAGCAGUUCAAGCUGAAUGCAAAUCAGUUUACUUUAUUCAGCCUGUAAGGAAAUAUGCUACAGAAGGAUGAAUAAAUACCCUUUGUAGGGUUAUACA